GGAGUCUGGUCCGUGUCUCAGUACCAGUGUGGGGGGACCUUCCUCUCAGAACCCCUAACGAUCGAUGGCUAGGUGGGCCGUUGCCCCGCCUACUACCUAAUCGUACGCAUCCCCAUCCAUGAGCGGCCAGGGCCUUUCGUGUGAAUCAGAUGCCAUCUUCACACGGCAUCAGGCAUUAAUCCGACUUUCGCCGGGCUGUUCCUGACUCAUGGUAGGUUGGAUACGCGUUACGCACCCGUGCGCCGGUCGCCAUCAAAGUUUGCAAGCAAACUUCAUGCUGCCCCUCGACUUGCAUGUGUUAAGCCUGUAGCUAGCGUUCAUCCUGAGCCAUGAUCAAACUACU
This 343-nucleotide ribosomal RNA is filed under the name uncultured Prevotella sp. RNAcentral's name for it is "partial 16S ribosomal RNA". Lineage: Bacteria; Pseudomonadati; Bacteroidota; Bacteroidia; Bacteroidales; Prevotellaceae. The record is from RNAcentral.